UAGGAACGGCCAUUGAUACUGUUAGGCUUGAAUUAUUAGGAAGUAACUAGAAUAUGUAGUGUAGCGGUGAAAUGCUUAGAGAUUACAUGGAAUACCAAUUGCGAAGGCAGGUUACUACUAAUGGAUUGACGCUGAUGGACGAAAGCGUGGGUAGCGAACAGGAUUAGAUACCCUGGUAGUCCACGCCGUAAACGAUGGAUACUAGCUGUUGGGAGCAAUUUCAGUGGCUAAGCGAAAGUGAUAAGUAUCCCACCUGGGGAGUACGAACGCAAGUUUGAAACUCAAAGGAAUUGACGGGGGCCCGCACAAGCGGUGGAGCAUGUGGUUUAAUUCGAUGAUACGCGAGGAACCUUACCAAGGCUUAAAUGUAGUUUGACCGAUUUGGAAACAGAUCUUUCGCAAGACAAAUUACAAGGUGCUGCAUGGUUGUCGUCAGCUCGUGCCGUGAGGUGUCAGGUUAAGUCCUAUAACGAGCGCAACCCCUGUUGUUAGUUGCCAGCGAGUCAAGUCGGGAACUCUAACAAGACUGCCAGUGCAAACUGUGAGGAAGGUGGGGGAUGACGUCAAAUCAUCAC
Molecule: ribosomal RNA, 575 nt
Filed under: uncultured Flavobacterium sp.
Lineage: Bacteria; Pseudomonadati; Bacteroidota; Flavobacteriia; Flavobacteriales; Flavobacteriaceae
Description: bacterial SSU rRNA
Rfam family: Bacterial small subunit ribosomal RNA
Source: RNAcentral